GAUGAACGCUGGCGGCGUGCCUAAUACAUGCAAGUCGAGCGAACAGACGAGGAGCUUGCUCCUUUGACGUUAGCGGCGGACGGGUGAGUAACACGUAGGUAACCUACCUAUAAGACUGGGAUAACUUCGGGAAACCGGAGCUAAUACCGGAUAAUAUUUCGAACCGCAUGGUUCGAUAGUGAAAGAUGGCUUUGCUAUCACUUAUAGAUGGACCUGCGCCGUAUUAGCUAGUUGGUAAGGUAACGGCUUACCAAGGCAACGAUACGUAGCCGACCUGAGAGGGUGAGCGGCCACACUGGAACUGGGAACCGGUCCAGACUCCUACGGGGGGCAGCAGUAGGGAAUCUUCCGCAAUGGGCGAAAGCCUGACGGAGCAACGCCGCGUGAGUGAUGAAGGUCUUCGGAUCGUAAAACUCUGUUAUUAGGGAAGAACAAACGUGUAAGUAACUGUGCACGUCUUGACGGUACCUAAUCAGAAAGCCACGGCUAACUACGUG
Molecule: ribosomal RNA, 497 nt
Filed under: uncultured bacterium
Lineage: Bacteria
Description: partial 16S ribosomal RNA
Rfam family: Bacterial small subunit ribosomal RNA
Source: RNAcentral